Molecule: non-coding RNA, 29 nt
Filed under: Drosophila melanogaster (fruit fly)
Lineage: Eukaryota; Metazoa; Arthropoda; Insecta; Diptera; Drosophilidae
Also listed under: 1 other name
Source: RNAcentral
GCAACGGAUAUCUCGGCUCUCGCAUCGAU